AUGACAUGUUGUGUUAUUCUUCAUAAUAUGAUUCUCGAAGAUGAGAGAGGCAUGAACUUGGAGUUCUUCUACGACAAUGUGGUUAGCCAUUUCAAACCAGUUAGAGAUCCUAACCGCAUUAGAGCUUUUCUUCAGACAUACAGGAAGAUUGAAAAUGUAAGCACCCAUUUUCAGUUUCAGGAGGAUCUUAUUGAGCACCAUUGGCAAAGGGCUGGGCAGUAA
This 222-nucleotide ribosomal RNA is filed under the name Triticum aestivum (bread wheat). Its description in RNAcentral is "partial small subunit ribosomal RNA". The record is from RNAcentral. Lineage: Eukaryota; Viridiplantae; Streptophyta; Magnoliopsida; Poales; Poaceae.